This 300-nucleotide ribosomal RNA is filed under the name uncultured beta proteobacterium. Its description in RNAcentral is "bacterial SSU rRNA". It matches the Rfam family "Bacterial small subunit ribosomal RNA", at positions 8 to 332 of the family's 1533-position model. The record is from RNAcentral. Lineage: Bacteria; Pseudomonadati; Pseudomonadota; Betaproteobacteria.
AGAGUUUGAUCCUGGCUCAGAUUGAACGCUGGCGGUAUGCUUUACACAUGCAAGUCGAACGGGCUUGGGGGCUUGCUCCUAGGUUAGUGGCGAACGGGUGAGUAAUAUAUCGGAACAUAUCCGGAAGUGGGGGAUAUGGAAGAUGUAUCCGAUCUACCCCGAGAGAGAGGGGGGCGGACCCCAUCUCGAUGGAGUGGCCGAUACCGCGAUAUUAGCUAGAUGGUGAGGUAAAGGCUCACCAUGGCGACGAUCCGUAGCGGGUCUGAGAGGACGACCCGCCACACUGAACUGAGACACGUC